RNAcentral lists this ribosomal RNA (387 nucleotides) under Triticum aestivum (bread wheat). RNAcentral's name for it is "partial small subunit ribosomal RNA". The record is from RNAcentral. Lineage: Eukaryota; Viridiplantae; Streptophyta; Magnoliopsida; Poales; Poaceae.
GAUUACUCAAGAUAUACAUGGGUCUUCUUCCUCAAGUUCAAGGACGAUACAAAGAUCACCUCCAUUGAUUUUUCCAAGCAAGCACAAUGCAAGUUUGACAAAGAAAUCUUGGCAAUAAUAAGUGAUAAUGGCUCUGAGUUCAAGAACUACACUUUGGAAGAAUUUCUUAGUGAUGAAGGGAUUGAGCAUCAAUAUUCAGCUCCAUACACUCCUCAACAAAAUGGUGUAGCAGAAAGGAAGAACCACACACUUGUGGAGAUGGCAAGGUCCAUGUUGGAUGAAUACAAGUCGCCACAUAGUUUUUGGGCCGAGGCUAUCAACACCGCAUGCCAUGCAUCAAACCGGCUCUUCCUCCGCACUAUAUUGAAAAAGACUCCAUAUGAGCUC